RNAcentral lists this ribosomal RNA (492 nucleotides) under uncultured bacterium. Its description in RNAcentral is "partial 16S ribosomal RNA". It matches the Rfam family "Bacterial small subunit ribosomal RNA", at positions 29 to 507 of the family's 1533-position model. The record is from RNAcentral.
AGUGAACGCUGGCGGUAGGCCUAACACAUGCAAGUCGAACGGCAGCACAGUAAGAGCUUGCUCUUACGGGUGGCGAGUGGCGGACGGGUGAGGAAUACAUCGGAAUCUACUUUUUCGUGGGGGAUAACGUAGGGAAACUUACGCUAAUACCGCAUACGACCUACGGGUGAAAGCAGGGGAUGUUCGGACCUUGCGCGAUUGAAUGAGCCGAUGUCGGAUUAGCUAGUUGGCGGGGUAAAGGCCCACCAAGGCGACGAUCCGUAGCUGGUCUGAGAGGAUGCUCGGCCACACUGGAACUGAGACACGGUCCAGACUCCUACGGGAGGAAGCAGUGGGGAAUAUUGGACAAUGGGCGCAAGCCUGAUCCAGCCAUACCGCGUGGGUGAAGAAGGCCUUCGGGUUGUAAAGCCCUUUUGUUGGGAAAGAAAAGCAGCAGGUUAAUACCCCGCUGUUCUGACGGUACCCAAAGAAUAAGCACCGGCUAACUUCGUG